UCAGCUCGUGUCGUGAGAUGUUGGUUAAGUCCGUAACGAGCGCAACCCUUGUCCUUAGUUACCAGCACGUUAUGGUGGGCACUCUAAGGAGACUGCCGGUGACGAACCGGAGGAAGGUGGGGAUGACGUCAAGUCAUCAUGGCCCUUACGGCCUGGGCUACACACGUGCUACAAUGGUCGGUACAAAGGGUUGCCAAGCCGCGAGGUGGAGCUAAUCCCAUAAAACCGAUCGUAGUCCGGAUCGCAGUCUGCAACUCGACUGCGUGAAGUCGGAAUCGCUAGUAAUCGUGAAUCAGAAUGUCACGGUGAAUACGUUCCCGGGCCUU
RNAcentral lists this ribosomal RNA (326 nucleotides) under uncultured Pseudomonas sp. RNAcentral's name for it is "bacterial SSU rRNA". It matches the Rfam family "Bacterial small subunit ribosomal RNA", at positions 1055 to 1382 of the family's 1533-position model. The record is from RNAcentral. Lineage: Bacteria; Pseudomonadati; Pseudomonadota; Gammaproteobacteria; Pseudomonadales; Pseudomonadaceae.